ACUCCUACGGGAGGCAGCAGUAGGGAAUCUUCCACAAUGGGCGCAAGCCUGAUGGAGCAACACCGCGUGAGUGAAGAAGGGUUUCGGCUCGUAAAGCUCUGUUGUUAAAGAAGAACACGUAUGAGAGUAACUGUUCAUACGUUGACGGUAUUUAACCAGAAAGUCACGGCUAACUACGUGCCAGCAGCCGCGGUAAUACGUAGGUGGCAAGCGUUAUCCGGAUUUAUUGGGCGUAAAGAGAGUGCAGGCGGUUUUCUAAGUCUGAUGUGAAAGCCUUCGGCUUAACCGGAGAAGUGCAUCGGAAACUGGAUAACUUGAGUGCAGAAGAGGGUAGUGGAACUCCAUGUGUAGCGGUGGAAUGCGUAGAUAUAUGGAAGAACACCAGUGGCGAAGGCGGCUACCUGGUCUGCAACUGACGCUGAGACUCGAAAGCAUGGGUAGCGAACAGGAUUAGAUACCCUGGUAGGAUAGCA
RNAcentral lists this ribosomal RNA (473 nucleotides) under uncultured bacterium. RNAcentral's name for it is "bacterial SSU rRNA". It matches the Rfam family "Bacterial small subunit ribosomal RNA", at positions 335 to 801 of the family's 1533-position model. The record is from RNAcentral.